UUAAUAUUAUUUAUUAAUUUAUUUUAGCAUUAUUAUUAUUAUUAUUUUAAUAAAAUUGGUCGAAAUGCGCACUGGAGGAAGUCCUGUGACCACAGGGGUGUGUGACGGGGCCGCGUGGGCCCGGCCCCGCAGGGGGAGGAAGCAGUGCUGGGCAAGAGGCUGACCCAGAGGGCGCGGGGUCGGUGCCGGCCGCGGCUCGUGGGGCUCACGGAAACAAUGCUUAUUUAAAUAAUGAACAAUUCGUCUAUGGAGCUUUUGAAGAAUGUAAAUAUAUUCAAAUGACAUAAAAAACUUCUGAAGUGGAAACUCCGAGGGUUAUUCAGAGCUCAUUCGCCCUCUCUGCCCCAUGCAGAGAUCCACAGAAUAUUCUGAAUUGGAAGGCACCACAAGGAUCAUCAAAGCCCAACUCCUGGCCCUGCACAGCACAGCCUCAAGAAUCACAAAUUCUAGAAGCCAUGUUGGAAACAAAGUUAUUAAACCUCUGCUUUGGAUCUUUGGUUGUUUA
RNAcentral lists this long non-coding RNA (505 nucleotides) under Manacus vitellinus (golden-collared manakin). Its description in RNAcentral is "lncRNA (ENSMVIG00005005650.1)". Lineage: Eukaryota; Metazoa; Chordata; Aves; Passeriformes; Pipridae. The record is from RNAcentral.